This 473-nucleotide unclassified non-coding RNA is filed under the name Hevea brasiliensis (rubber tree). Lineage: Eukaryota; Viridiplantae; Streptophyta; Magnoliopsida; Malpighiales; Euphorbiaceae. The record is from RNAcentral.
UCCCUGGUGGCUAUGGAUGGGACACUGCUGGUUUAUCUGCAGAUCCUGAGACAUUUGCUAAGAACCGUGAGCUUGAGGUAAUUCACUGCAGAUGGGCCAUGCUUGGUGCACUUGGCUGCGUCUUCCCUGAAAUCCUUUCGAGGAAUGGUGUCAAAUUUGGCGAGGCAGUUUGGUUCAAAGCUGGAGCCCAAAUCUUUUCUGAAGGUGGUCUUGAUUACCUUGGCAACCCAAACCUUAUCCAUGCUCAGAGCAUUCUUGCAAUUUGGGCUGUCCAGGUUGUGCUAAUGGGAUUUGUUGAAGGCUAUAGAGUUGGUGGAGGACCACUCGGUGAAGGACUUGAUCCCAUUUACCCUGGUGGUGCCUUUGACCCUCUGGGACUAGCUGAUGAUCCUGACGCAUUUGCAGAAUUGAAAGUCAAAGAGAUUAAGAACGGACGUUUGGCAAUGUUUUCCAUGUUUGGAUUCUUUGUUCAG